UGAUGAUGGUAAGGGAAAUUUCUGAGCCUACCCUUAAACCUUUCCAAAUCUUGGUAAAGAUUUUCUCCUUCUUUCUGCUUGAAACUUAGAAUCUUACUUCUCAAAUG
Non-coding RNA from Capsicum annuum, 107 nucleotides. Lineage: Eukaryota; Viridiplantae; Streptophyta; Magnoliopsida; Solanales; Solanaceae. The record is from Rfam.